Molecule: ribosomal RNA, 488 nt
Filed under: uncultured bacterium
Lineage: Bacteria
Description: partial 16S ribosomal RNA
Rfam family: Bacterial small subunit ribosomal RNA
Source: RNAcentral
GACGAACGCUGGCGGCGUGCUUAACACAUGCAAGUCGAACGAAAAUACCAAGCUUGCUUGGUUGAUUAGUGGCGAACGGGUGAGUAACACGUGAGUAACCUGCCCCUUACUUUCCUGGAUAACUGCUCGAAAGGGUAGCUAAUACGGGAUAUUCUGACCAGCCUGCAUGGGUUGGUUUGGAAAGGUUGUUUUUCUGGUAAGGGAUGGGCUCGCGGCCUAUCAGCUUGUUGGUGGGGUGAUGGCCUACCAAGGCUUUGACGGGUAGCCGGCCUGAGAGGGUGGACGGUCACACUGGGACUGAGAUCCGGCCCAGACUCCUACGGGAGGCAGCAGUGGGGAAUAUUGCACAAUGGGCGCAAGCCUGAUGCAGCGACGCCGCGUGAGGGAUGAAGGCCUUCGGGUUGUAAACCUCUUUCGUCAGGGAACAAGGCACUGCUUUUUUGGUGGUGUUGAGGGUACCUGGAUAAGAAGCGCCGGCUAACUACGUG